GCCAUGGAAGUGGAGAAUGACUAGGGAUAAGGAUUUUACAUUGAACAUUUUAGUUGAACUUGUUAAGUUUUAUUUUAUUUUAUUUUAUUUUUAUUUUUAUUUUAUGAUACUACUUUAGUUUUGGCAAGUUGACUUUGACAUUAGUUUAAAUUUUCUUUAUAAAUCAAGAAAUUAUUAUUAUACUAUCUUUUGUUCUCUACUUUUUUUAAAUAGUAAAGUUUAUGAAAAUUGGGGUGUUACAAUAUAUUACUUAUCUUUUAUAUAUACUAAAGGGAAAAUUGCACCUAAAUACACAAAUUUUGCCGAAAAUUCAUUUUUGACGCGAUUCUAGGAUUUUACAUUUUAAUACACCAAUU
This 356-nucleotide long non-coding RNA is filed under the name Salvia miltiorrhiza (redroot sage). RNAcentral's name for it is "long non-coding RNA (SMIL_LNC013981)". Lineage: Eukaryota; Viridiplantae; Streptophyta; Magnoliopsida; Lamiales; Lamiaceae. The record is from RNAcentral.